Molecule: long non-coding RNA, 687 nt
Filed under: Ovis aries (sheep)
Lineage: Eukaryota; Metazoa; Chordata; Mammalia; Artiodactyla; Bovidae
Description: lncRNA (ENSOARG00000025535.1)
Source: RNAcentral
AAGUUACUAAAAAAUUAUGUCCCUUGAAAAAGUGGGUGGCUUAGCAUGGAGCCAAUGAGGAGCUCAGUUUGCUUUUGAAGUAGAAAGUUGUCCUGAGGCAUUCUGAAACACAUGCACAGAUUACUGCCUUUCUCCUGGAGAGAAGGCUGGCUGGCUGGCUUCAGGAAGGAGUAGAGCCCAGUGGAAACAUUGCUAAUCUCUUUCUUUAUCUACACACUGAAUAAAUAUUGCGGAACCCUGAGAAACAAUGCAACCACUAGGGACUUUAAUGAGUGUUUAUCUUUCUAACUGUAUUUAUAGAGGGGUGACUGCCUGUGGCAUGCUUGCCAGAGGAUUGAGAAGGGACUGCUUGGAAAAGCUGAAAACAGGUAACUUUCCCACAGUAAAAAAGAAAUCUCUUGAAUUGAAAAGUGAAGAAACCAUUAAGGACUCUGUAGAGGAAGAUGGGAAGGUUGAAGGCUUCCAUGGUUCUCGCAUAUACACUCUUGCUAACCUCUCCCAUGGGUCAUAUAAACUCACCACAAUGAGCACGCCUGACUCAGGUAAUUCACCAUUAAAUAUGGAAGUUUAAUGCCACUGAAUUUAUAUACUUACAAAUGGUUACAGUGAGAAAUACUAUGUUAUUUGUAUUUUAUCCCCCUAAAUGUUUUGCCCUGAAGUUAGGGAAUUAAAGAAUAAAAGAAGACA